This 481-nucleotide ribosomal RNA is filed under the name uncultured Marmoricola sp. Its description in RNAcentral is "partial 16S ribosomal RNA". Lineage: Bacteria; Bacillati; Actinomycetota; Actinomycetes; Propionibacteriales; Nocardioidaceae. The record is from RNAcentral.
CACGUAGUUGGCCGGUGCUUCUUCUCCUACUACCGUCACUUGCGCUUCGUCAUAGGUGAAAGAGGUUUACAACCCGAAGGCCGUCAUCCCUCACGCGGCGUUGCUGGAUCAGGCUUUCGCCCAUUGUCCAAUAUUCCCCACUGCUGCCUCCCGUAGGAGUCUGGGCCGUGUCUCAGUCCCAGUGUGGCCGGUCACCCUCUCAGGCCGGCUACCCGUCGAAGCCUUGGUAGGCCACUACCCCACCAACAAGCUGAUAGGCCGCGAGCUCAUCCAUCACCGCCGGAACUUUCCACCACACCAGAUGCCCGGCAUGGUCAUAUUCGGUAUUAGCACCGGUUUCCCGGAGUUAUCCCGAAGUGAAGGGCAGAUUACUCACGUGUUACUCACCCGUUCGCCGCUCGUGUACCCCGAAGGGCCUUACCGCUCGACUUGCAUGUGUUAAGCACGCCGCCAGCGUUCGUCCUGAGCCAGGAUCAACUCU